RNAcentral lists this long non-coding RNA (1275 nucleotides) under Homo sapiens (human). RNAcentral's name for it is "non-protein coding lnc-EFCAB12-3:1". Lineage: Eukaryota; Metazoa; Chordata; Mammalia; Primates; Hominidae. The record is from RNAcentral.
AUGCAUUCACACACACCACACUCACCACACAUAUACACACCGUACCGCAAAUACACGUACACACACCACACCUAUACCACACACAAACAUAUCACACACAUACACCACACCACACACAUACACUCUACACAUAUGCACAUGCACAUCAUACACAUUCACCCACCACACCCUCCACACAGUACACACAUACACACCAUACCACACAAUAUACACACAGCACACUCACAUAUACCACACACGUACACACCACACUCAUCACUUAUAUCAAAAACACACUACACACAGCACAUCCACACCACACACAUCAAAACACAAUGCACACUCCCCCCCCUUAUCAUUUAUAAGCAGUUACAGAGUUGUUUCAACUGUGAGCAAACCAUGACCAGGGAAGACUGUAAGGAAAUUCACCGUGUCCCCUCACUGACUUCGCCUUGGGGGGCCUCUCCAAACUCUUUCUCUUUCUGCUUCCUUAGACUUUCUAGAUCAGAAACAACAUCGCGUCUGUAACCAACAACAACCUGAAAAAGUGACUUUCAUAAAAAUCCGGGGCUAGAUUCCUUUCCAGAUAACGAGGUUGAGAGUGUGAACUGAGUGCCCCAGGUCAGGGUGAACGCCUGGCAGGGAAGUGCACCUGACUCCUGACAAACAGGCAGCUGAAAGGCCAAGAGAGUGGGGAAGAACGGCUGCUAGCCCCUGCUCUCCAGGCUGGGCUGCUUUCUGGAAGAUGGCACAGCAGGGAGGGCGAGCAAGCCGGCCCAGUGUGGACACCUUAUGUAUUCCACCUCAGCCUCCAAAAUAGAUAGGAAGUGCAUGCCACCGUCUCACUCUGUCACCCAGGCUGGAGUGCAGUAGUGUGAUCAGAGCUCACUGCAGCCUUGAACUCCUGGGCUCAAGGGAUCCUCUCACCUCAGCCUCUCAAGUAGCUGGGACCACAGGUGCACACCACCAGGCCCAGCUAGAUUAGUCUUGAACUCCUGGCCUCAAGUGAUCCUCCCUCCUCAGACUCUCAAAGUGCUGGGAUUACGGGUGUGGGCCAUUGCGCCCAGCCUAAUUUAAGAUUUCAUGUGCAAAGUGCAGACCCACGAGGUCACAGGCACGGCUGUGAUAUCCAUUAUCCUGGACAGAAGCACCACAUUUUUCCCCAAGUGAUGUUUCCCCUUUGGAAAGCUUUGUCCACAGGGGAAUAGCAUUUUCAUUUCCAGGAUUCCAAUACAAUAGGGUGUGUUCUAAAAAACACAAAAAUCACAGUGCUAUGCAUCUGUGUUGCUGAGAGAG